UGUUGUGGGGAUCGCCACCAGUCAGCGCGGAUGCGCCCACUGGUGUGCUUGUC
Molecule: small RNA, 53 nt
Filed under: Pseudooceanicola nitratireducens
Lineage: Bacteria; Pseudomonadati; Pseudomonadota; Alphaproteobacteria; Rhodobacterales; Paracoccaceae
Description: Oceanicola sp. JLT1210 ffh sRNA
Rfam family: ffh sRNA
Source: Rfam by way of RNAcentral